CUUGCUUGAUUGGAAGAGUGCAAUUUGAGUAAUUAAAGAAGCGAUGCUUAGUUAGAUGUACUUACGAGGAUCUCAGGGCACAAGAUUUUGGUUGUCCAAUACCCUAAUUAACUCAAAUUUUAAUCGGUAAUUAACAUUAUCCGUAUACAUUGGAAUUGUACACCGCAUACAUUGGAAUUGUUCUCGGAAGGAAACUCUAAAGCAAUUACAUCAAAGAAGCGUCCACCACAGAUUGCUGCAUGCAUGCAUGCACGCACGCA
RNAcentral lists this long non-coding RNA (260 nucleotides) under Musa acuminata (dwarf banana). RNAcentral's name for it is "long non-coding RNA (MACU_LNC003696)". Lineage: Eukaryota; Viridiplantae; Streptophyta; Magnoliopsida; Zingiberales; Musaceae. The record is from RNAcentral.